Molecule: ribosomal RNA, 2936 nt
Filed under: Priestia megaterium
Lineage: Bacteria; Bacillati; Bacillota; Bacilli; Caryophanales; Bacillaceae
Also listed under: 1 other name
Description: 23S ribosomal RNA
Rfam family: Bacterial large subunit ribosomal RNA
Source: RNAcentral
GGUUAAGUUAGAAAGGGCGCACGGUGAAUGCCUUGGCACUAGGAGCCGAUGAAGGACGGGACUAACACCGAUAUGCUUCGGGGAGCUGUAAGUGAGCUUUGAUCCGGAGAUUUCCGAAUGGGGAAACCCACUGUUCGUAAUGGAACAGUAUCUUUAUCUGAAUACAUAGGAUAUUGAAGGCAGACCCGGGGAACUGAAACAUCUAAGUACCCGGAGGAAGAGAAAGCAAAUGCGAUUUCCUGAGUAGCGGCGAGCGAAACGGAAUUAGCCCAAACCAAGAGGCUUGCCUCUUGGGGUUGUAGGACACUCUAUACGGAGUUACAAAGGAACGAAGUAAAUGAAGCGACCUGGAAAGGUCCGUCGAAGAAGGUAACAACCCUGUAGUUGAAACUUCGUUCCCUCUUGAGUGGAUCCUGAGUACGGCGGAACACGUGAAAUUCCGUCGGAAGCUGGGAGGACCAUCUCCCAAGGCUAAAUACUACCUAGUGACCGAUAGUGAACCAGUACCGUGAGGGAAAGGUGAAAAGCACCCCGGAAGGGGAGUGAAAGAGAUCCUGAAACCGUGUGCCUACAAGUAGUCAGAGCCCGUUAACGGGUGAUGGCGUGCCUUUUGUAGAAUGAACCGGCGAGUUACGAUCCCAUGCAAGGUUAAGCUGAUAAGGCGGAGCCGUAGCGAAAGCGAGUCUGAAUAGGGCGUUUAGUAUGUGGUUGUAGACCCGAAACCAGGUGAUCUACCCAUGUCCAGGGUGAAGUUCAGGUAACACUGAAUGGAGGCCCGAACCCACGCACGUUGAAAAGUGCGGGGAUGAGGUGUGGGUAGCGGAGAAAUUCCAAUCGAACCUGGAGAUAGCUGGUUCUCUCCGAAAUAGCUUUAGGGCUAGCCUCAUGUUGUGAGAGUCUUGGAGGUAGAGCACUGAUUGGACUAGGGGCCCCCAACGGGUUACCGAAUUCAGUCAAACUCCGAAUGCCAAAGACUUAUCCAUGGGAGUCAGACUGCGAGUGAUAAGAUCCGUAGUCAAAAGGGAAACAGCCCAGACCACCAGCUAAGGUCCCCAAGUAUACGUUAAGUGGAAAAGGAUGUGGAGUUGCUUAGACAACCAGGAUGUUGGCUUAGAAGCAGCCACCAUUUAAAGAGUGCGUAAUAGCUCACUGGUCGAGUGACUCUGCGCCGAAAAUGUACCGGGGCUAAACGUAUCACCGAAGCUGUGGAUUGACAUCUUUGAUGUCAGUGGUAGGAGAGCGUUCUAAGUGCUGUGAAGUCAGACCGUAAGGACUGGUGGAGCGCUUAGAAGUGAGAAUGCCGGUAUGAGUAGCGAAAGACAAGUGAGAAUCUUGUCCACCGAAUGCCUAAGGUUUCCUGAGGAAGGCUCGUCCGCUCAGGGUUAGUCGGGACCUAAGCCGAGGCUGAAAAGCGUAGGCGAUGGCCAACAGGUUGAUAUUCCUGUACCACCUCCCCGCCGUUUGAGUAAUGGGGGGACGCAGUAGGAUAGGGUAAGCGCGCUGCUGGAUAUGCGCGUUCAAGCAGUUAGGCUGAUGAGUAGGCAAAUCCGCUCAUCAUAAAGGCUGAGCUGUGAUGACGAGGGAAUUAUAGUACCGAAGUUCCUGAUUCCACACUGCCAAGAAAAGCCUCUAGCGAGGCGGGAGGUGCCCGUACCGCAAACCGACACAGGUAGGCGAGGAGAGAAUCCUAAGGUGAUCGAGAGAACUCUCGUUAAGGAACUCGGCAAAAUGACCCCGUAACUUCGGGAGAAGGGGUGCUCUGGUAGGGUGUAUAGCCCGAGAGAGCCGCAGUGAAUAGGCCCAGGCGACUGUUUAGCAAAAACACAGGUCUCUGCGAAGCCGCAAGGCGAAGUAUAGGGGCUGACGCCUGCCCGGUGCUGGAAGGUUAAGAGGAGGGGUUAUCCUUUGGGAGAAGCUCUGAAUCGAAGCCCCAGUAAACGGCGGCCGUAACUAUAACGGUCCUAAGGUAGCGAAAUUCCUUGUCGGGUAAGUUCCGACCCGCACGAAAGGCGUAACGAUCUGGGCACUGUCUCAACGAGAGACUCGGUGAAAUUAUAGUACCUGUGAAGAUGCAGGUUACCCGCGACAGGACGGAAAGACCCCGUGGAGCUUUACUGUAGCCUGAUAUUGAAUUUUGGUACAGCUUGUACAGGAUAGGUAGGAGCCUGAGAAACCGGAGCGCUAGCUUCGGUGGAGGCGUCGGUGGGAUACUACCCUGGCUGUAUUGAAAUUCUAACCCGCGGCCCUGAUCGGGCCGGGAGACAGUGUCAGGUGGGCAGUUUGACUGGGGCGGUCGCCUCCUAAAAUGUAACGGAGGCGCCCAAAGGUUCCCUCAGAAUGGUUGGAAAUCAUUCGUAGAGUGUAAAGGCACAAGGGAGCUUGACUGCGAGACCUACAAGUCGAGCAGGGACGAAAGUCGGGCUUAGUGAUCCGGUGGUUCCGCAUGGAAGGGCCAUCGCUCAACGGAUAAAAGCUACCCCGGGGAUAACAGGCUUAUCUCCCCCAAGAGUCCACAUCGACGGGGAGGUUUGGCACCUCGAUGUCGGCUCAUCGCAUCCUGGGGCUGUAGUCGGUCCCAAGGGUUGGGCUGUUCGCCCAUUAAAGCGGUACGCGAGCUGGGUUCAGAACGUCGUGAGACAGUUCGGUCCCUAUCCGUCGUGGGCGUAGGAAAUUUGAGAGGAGCUGUCCUUAGUACGAGAGGACCGGGAUGGACACACCGCUGGUGUACCAGUUGUCUUGCCAAAGGCAUCGCUGGGUAGCUAUGUGUGGACGGGAUAAGUGCUGAAAGCAUCUAAGCAUGAAGCCCCCCUCAAGAUGAGAUUUCCCAUAGCGCAAGCUAGUAAGAUCCCUGAAAGAUGAUCAGGUUGAUAGGUCAGAGGUGGAAGCGUGGCGACAUGUGUAGCUGACUGAUACUAAUCGAUCGAGGACUUAACCAA